AUUGAACGCUGGCGGCAUGCCUUACACAUGCAAGUCGAACGGCAGCACGGGAGCAAUCCUGGUGGCGAGUGGCGAACGGGUGAGUAAUAUAUCGGAACGUGCCCAGUCGUGGGGAUAACGUAGCGAAAGCUACGCUAAUACCGCAUACGAUCUAUGGAUGAAAGCGGGGGAUCGCAAGACCUCGCGCGAUUGGAGCGGCCGAUAUCAGAUUAGGUAGUUGGUGAGGUAAAGGCUCGCCAAGCCGACGAUCUGUAGCUGGUCUGAGAGGACGACCAGCCACACUGGGACUGAGACACGGCCCAGACUCCUACGGGAGGCAGCAGUGGGGAAUUUUGGACAAUGGGCGCAAGCCUGAUCCAGCAAUGCCGCGUGCAGGAUGAAGGCCUGGU
Molecule: ribosomal RNA, 389 nt
Filed under: uncultured bacterium
Lineage: Bacteria
Description: bacterial SSU rRNA
Rfam family: Bacterial small subunit ribosomal RNA
Source: RNAcentral